This is an RNA transcript of Erpetoichthys calabaricus (reedfish), 7504 nucleotides long. It is a transcript of the gene named Yes-related kinase, with no coding region annotated. The record is from RefSeq and is a predicted model, not a curated record. The transcript has 14 exons. Lineage: Eukaryota; Metazoa; Chordata; Cladistia; Polypteriformes; Polypteridae.
CUGUGACGGCUAGGAAGUGACAUUCUGGCCUCAGCUCAGGGGGUGUGGGCUGCAGUGUCUGCCUGCCAGACUGCUUUGCUCCAUCUUCCAUUAUCCAAGAGGAACCUGCCAGGAUUUGAGUGUUCGCUGAAUGUUGGAAGUGGGACUUUCACACUUACUGUGGAGUCAACAAAGGCCGGAAUGGUGUGGAGCAGAUGAUCUGAAAGGCUGACCGCUACUCCUGAUCUUCAACGAUGGGCUGUGUUCAUUGUAAAGAGAAGAAGUCCUCAAAGUCUCAAGGGGUCGCAGCAGAUGGCAUUCAGCAGACUGAUCGUUAUGGCCCCGAUCCUACCAACGUAAGCCAGCAGAGCCACUUCACCAACAUUCCCAACUUUAACAACUUCCAGAGUACACCGGUGCCAUCAGCCACAAGCUUCACACCCUCUAACCCAUAUCCUUCCAACACACUGCAGUCCCGAGGCGGUGGAGGAGGAGGUGGCGUAGGCAGCAUCACAAGUGGAGGAGUGACUCUUUUUGUGGCUCUUUAUGAUUAUGAUGCCCGAACUGAGGAUGAUCUGAGCUUCAGGAAGAGUGAAAAAUUCCACAUCAUCAAUAACACUGAAGGGGACUGGUGGGAAGCUCGAUCUCUUGACACCGGAAACACCGGCUACAUUCCUAGUAACUACGUGGCCCCUGUGAAUUCCAUCCAGGCGGAAGAGUGGUAUUUUGGAAAGAUGGGGAGAAAGGAUGCUGAAAGAAUGCUGCUGUGCCAAGGCAACCCAAGAGGAACAUUCCUUAUACGAGAAAGUGAGACCACCAAAGGCGCUUACUCUCUGUCCAUCCGUGACUGGGAUGAAGCCAAAGGAGAACAUGUGAAGCAUUACAAGAUCCGCAAGCUGGACAGUGGUGGCUAUUACAUCACCACACGCUCACAGUUUGAAACAGUGCAGCAGCUGGUCGAGCACUACACAGAGCGUGCCGCAGGCCUGUGCUGCCGCCUCGCCGUCUCAUGCCACAAGGGGAUGCCCAAGCUAGCUGACUUGUCUGUCAAAACCAAAGACGUGUGGGAGAUCCCGCGGGAGUCACUGCAGCUCAUCAAGAAGCUGGGCAACGGGCAGUUUGGGGAAGUUUGGAUGGGCAUGUGGAACGGCACCACAAAAGUAGCGGUGAAGACGCUGAAGCCAGGCACUAUGUCACCCGAGGCCUUUCUGGAGGAGGCCCAGAUCAUGAAGAGGCUGCGACAUGACAAGCUGGUGCAGCUGUAUGCUGUUGUCUCAGAGGAGCCCAUCUAUAUUGUCACCGAAUUUAUGAGCCAAGGAAGCUUGUUGGAUUUCCUGAAGGAUGGAGAUGGACGGUAUCUUAAAUUACCUCAGCUAGUGGACAUGGCAGCUCAGAUUGCAGCAGGGAUGGCCUACAUUGAAAGGAUGAACUACAUCCACAGAGAUCUACGGGCUGCCAACAUCUUAGUGGGUGACAAUCUAGUGUGCAAAAUUGCAGACUUUGGAUUGGCUCGGCUGAUUGAAGAUAACGAAUACACGGCACGACAAGGUGCCAAGUUUCCUAUCAAGUGGACUGCACCAGAGGCAGCACUCUACGGCAAAUUCACAAUCAAGUCGGAUGUAUGGUCCUUCGGGAUCCUCAUGACGGAACUUGUCACUAAAGGCAGAGUGCCAUAUCCAGGAAUGAACAAUCGAGAAGUCCUGGAGCAAGUGGAGAGGGGCUACCGCAUGCCGGCCCCUGUAGGCUGCCCAGCUUCACUGCACGAACUCAUGUUACAGUGUUGGAAGAAGGACCCCGAGGAGCGUCACACCUUUGAGUAUCUGCAGUCUUUCUUAGAGGACUAUUUCACCGCUACUGAACCUCAGUAUCAGCCUGGGGAGAACCUCUGAGUAGACCACUUGGGAAAGACAACAGCUUCACCACAAAUGAGCUUCAAGCACCAAGGACCCUGGAGUUCUUACUGCUGACACUUGCACAGGCCAAGCUGCCAGCCACAGGCCUUGCAGGAUCUACUAAAACAGAUUAGUGAAGCAAUGAACUUCGUCAUACUCAUUGUGGUCUUCACUCUGGUGGUCUGUUGGGGUAACAAAAGUGAUGAUAUGUACUCUCACCCCAUAGACUCCAAAAUUGAAACUUCUUAUCAACCGUGCAAGACUUUUGCCCUCGGUUUGUGCCACAUUAGAGUGCCCCUUGUGGGAAGGAUGAAGCGAGGAAGUCUCCCUCCCUUUCCUCCUUUUUUUAGCGAUUUCCUGCACAGACACUGAAAAACUGUAGAGAGCAACCAAAAGAGUUAUUUUUCUCUUUUCCAAAUUGCACUUUUUCCAGCAGAUAUUUUCUACUUCUUAAAACCAAUUUUGUUUCUUUUCACUAACAGAGAAUUUCCCUUUAUAUUGUAUUUUAUAAGCAUUUACCUAGAGCUCUCAUUUAAUAUUACAACGGUUGUGAUGUUUAAAGUUAUUUAAGUUAUGCUUUACAAAGUGGCUUUGUUGUGGUCGACCGCCAUUGUUCAGAUUAUUCACUUACUGCAAAAACAAGAUGUCAUCUCUGGACUUUUAUUGCAAGUGCUUUUAUUUUAUUUUAUUAUUAUUGCAUCAAGCUUUAUAAAACAUCCUGUAAGUGGCACUGGAAAUGUCUGAGUGUGUUAUGGUUCAGUGGGCAAAAUGUGAAAUGGUGUUUUUUAACAAAACCUUGGAGACUUUGGGCUUUACCUUUUGAAACUGAAGCAGUUUCUUUUAACUCAGGUCUUAUCUGAGUUGAUUUUUUAGCAUUAAUUGUUGACCAAUUUUAUGUUGCUCUAGUUUACAGGAAAACAUCAAGUAAAACCUAGUGUUCUAGGGUCUUUUAACAUUGCCAUUAAUUUUGGGCGGUGAACUUUUUAAUGUCCUAUAUGCCUUCUCCUUGCACCUGUCUUAGAGGCAUCUCAUAUUGUACUUGGGUGAAUAAUUCCUUUUCAUUGGUAGACUGUGGGGCAUCUGAUUAAAACACAAUAUUUGUAAAAUACUGGUCAUCUGUGAAAAGUACCUUUUUUAAAGGAGUUUGAACAAUUUGAUUUAGGAUGGUCAGCGACUUAAAGGUCACAAACCUGAAUCUAUGGGCAGAAUGUUUUGCAUAGUUUUGUCUAAAAGAUUUAAUGAUCCUUACUUUUUUUUUGCACGAACAGCUCUUUGGCAGCUAGGCCAGACACAACAGCAUAAAGUCAUAAUAGUCAAGUGUGCUCUUUGUCACCAUCUGCUAUAACACUUCGAGAAUAAACGUCAUGUUCAGCCAGCCAGUCACCUUCAUAUAUUCCAUCUGAGGUAUUACUAAGUUUACAAUCAGAGGCAUUUCAUAAGAUUUCCUUGUUCACGCUGUAAAUAAUGACUCCGUAAUUCCUUUGUUCUCAAUAUCCAGUCACAUUUGAAGAAAUUUUCAUUAUACUAACUGCGAGAACACAUAAUCUCACUAUGGCAUUCACAGCCAUUUUAAAUUUACUCACACGGUGUCAGUUCCUUCAUUAUUCCACCAAUAUGUGCAGGUUAGGUCAACUGGCAUCUCUAAAUUGACCCAGCUUGAGUGAUUGUGGCUUGUGAAGCAAUCGCAUCCUGUCCAGGGUUUGCUUCCACUUUGAGUCCAAUGCUGACAGAAUGAACACCAGCCUCCUUCAGCCUUGGGUAAGUGGCUGAGGAAAUAGAUGUAUGCAAAAGAGGUUCCAUUAGAAUUUUCUCAUUUGGCUAAGUAUCUCUCAUGUUUCAUACAUUUUUCAAAACUUACUUUGUUAAAAAAAAUAUAUACAGUAUGUUAUUCCUUCAGGAUCUUCCAUCCAUUUUCUAACCCGCUGAAUCUGAACACAGGGUCACGGGGGUCUGCUGGAGCCAAUCCCAGCCAACACAGGGCACAAGGCAGGGUGCUAACCCACCACAGGACACACACAAACACACACCAGGGCCAAUUUAGAAUUGCAAUUCCACCUAACCUGCAUGUCUUUGGACUGUGGGAGGAAACCGGAGCGCCCGGAGGAAACCCAUGCAGACACGGGGGAGGACCCGGGUCUCCUAACUGCAAGGCAGCAGCACUACCACUGCUCCACUGUGCCGCCCCUUCAGGAUCUUACAAUCAAUAAUCAUUUCAUCUUAUGUACUGGUUAGUGAACUUGAUCCAGUAAUAAUAUGGCUUGUUCACACAUAAACAGACAUUUCUCAGUUUCUGGGAAUCAUACUAGAAAAUUGGUCAGGUUGUGUGUUCAAGAAUAUCAACAGCAGCUUUCCUUUACACAUAAGCCUGACCGAGCAGUUCAACUGGUAACAUCCUAGUGUCACCAUUUUGCUUGGACAGGGUUCAUUUGAGUAGGAAAAUCAAACGUAUGACCUGGAAGAAACCUCAAAAAAAAUACAUUUCAGUCCUACCUGUACCCAAUAAUGUGAAGAGAUAUUUGAGUUUAACAUAAUAUAAAAUAUUAUGUUAUCUUCUGCCCUUCUUUCUGAGGCUUCUAAACCCACCACUUCAUAGCUAAUUUUAUAGUUAUUGAGAUAUGUUUCCUCUUAAAAGCUAUUUUGCUUAUUUUCAUCACAAGCUUUCACAUAAUUAACAUAUUGGAUAUCAAGUGACACUUCGUAAGGCCUGCAUUGAAAACUAGUGUGGCCUUACCAUUGCAGUAUCCAUCCAAUCAAAGAAAAAUGGGAGACCAUUAUAAGAAAUUCUCAUGUGGGGAUUGAAAUUUGGUUUGUUAAGUUUGACAUGAUUAUAUAGAAUUUUGCUUUCUUCAAAUAUAUUUCAGUAAAAAAGAAAGAAGUUCAUGCAUCACUAUCAUAUGUGAUCUAAAUCCAUAACCCAUACAAUUCAGAAUAUUACGGUCAAAGUCACUUUUAUUAUCUUAAUGGGAAAUUUGUUUUCAGCAGUAAAGUACAAAGAAUAGGAUACUGUUACACACACACUUGUUAUGAUCAGUAGAUGCACCCAGAAGAUUUAUACAGAAAGGGGUAAUGAGCUAAUAACAUUACACCAUAAUAAUUCUGAAUUUGGUAGAAUCCCUGCAGCUACAGGAUUUUCAUGACACUCUACUCAGGACGAUUUUGAACUUGUGUGUGGCUCUAACAUUUUAGCUUCCAACCCACUAGGGAAGAAUUAAAGUCCACUGCAGAGUGUUCAUACAUUCAUCUAUAUUACUUAGGGUCAUCAUUUGAUCAUGUAUAAGAUAGCAAUUUGCAGAAUAUUAAGAUCAGUGGCUCAUGAUGCUCUAUAAAGACCACAUUGAAUGGUUUGAGACUCCAGCCCGUACAAUAUAUGAGUUCCUUAUGAAUUCUUCAAAUGUCCAUAUCCAAGCAGUGCCGUAAAAACGCACAAUUGUAAAUCACUGUGCUUUGCUUUUGAUAAAAGUUCUCUCCUCCUUUCUCCAAGCAGCAUUUUCUAUUUUUUUUUUAUUUUGCAUAUCCAGUUAGUCACGUGUGUUUGCUCUAUAGGGCUUUAUAACCCAAACAUGCCAUACCACCCAGCAUAAAACAUAUUAAAUGUUUUCAAGAUGAACAAUCACUAUUUUAGUUGUCAUAGGAAUGUACUGUCUGUGAACAUUUCUGACAGCAUUUUCUUUAGCCAACGAAGCCAGGAUUUACUCCUAUUUUUUUGGAAGCAAACAUUAAGAUUACAGAGGCAGUGUCACAAUUUAUUGAGUUGAUAAAAACAUGGGUGUAUGUUAAUGUACACAUUUAUUAGCUUACUUUUCAUAUAGCAUAUCAAUUAAUGUAAUAAUUGACCACACAUUCCUUUUAGUAAAUUAUCAAAUCUUCAGUUGGUCUCUUUGCAAAACAAUGAAUUGAGUUUAUCUUUAGAUUCAUUCCCUGAUUACUUUUUUUUUAUCCAAUUUGACAAUUUCUCAGCAGGACAAUUUAGGAACAGGACUACUCAAUUCAGUCCAUGGUGGGCCAAAGGCUGCAGGUUUUAAUUGUAAUUCAUCUCUAAAUCAGAUGACAAUUCGUUGUUGUGAUUAGACUCCUUCAUUAGUCUGAUGUCUUGUUGUCCUUUUUCUGUGCUCAGAAUGUGACAACAAUAUAAAAUAUAUAUAAGCUGCCGAUAAAUACUGUGAUAGGUUUGUCCACAUGGGUUCAUUUCCUGCAUUUCUUUGCUGCUAUUCUUAUAUAAAACUGAUUGACAUUUACAUUAAACAAGUUCAGGUGUGAAGAAUGAUGAAAAUGUGCCUUCUCUUUAGGGCCAAAAGUCUUUUUACAGUGAGAGGUAAAGACCUGAUAGGAAGAGGCUUCCUCUUAUAGUGAAAUGAUAGUUCAGGAAGUCAAUGAAAUACUGUGCUCUGCUUGGCGCAGAGCUGCCUCCCUGACUGCUCCUCUUUCUAAAAACCACUACUAAGAUUAGUUUUCCUGCCUCAUUUGUGGGUUGUCCCUAUGUGUCCACCUGCAGGUAGAAAAGAGCUGUUAAUUAUGCCACUAUCCUACUGACUAUACAAUUUAGCAUAACAAGCUCAACCUGCUUAAUGCAAUUUAGGGUCAUGGGAGGCACAAUGCAGAAACCAGUUCUGGGCAGGAUGUUAAUCUAUCAGAGGCAAUUGUGACAUUUUAACCCAUAAUACAAUUUUCUCAAUUCCUUAGGUUCUUUUUUGUAUUAUGGACUAGAUAACAUUAGGCUCAAAGCCCAUUUUAGCAUAGCCAUAAUGUUUUGGUAAGUGUUCUUAUAAGGCCAAAUCACUGUCAGCCAGAAAAUGAGACCCUUCUGUCUUUGGCUCUGGUGGCAACCUGAGCCUAAGAAAACAAAAUAUAUUUCUGUGAAUUAAAGCGCUUCGAAAGAACUCAGGUUUACUAAACACUGUCAAAAAUCAAAAUGAAAAAAAAAAAACUGUGUAAAAUCACCCAGAUUCCUGAACUCAGAAAUUUGCGAACCUUAUUUAAUCCAAAAAUUAAAUAAGGCACACACCUCAGUCUUUGAUUAAGAGCUUGGCUUCAACAAAAAAACUUGCAUGCAUUAUGGCCCUCAUUGGAGGUAGUAGAGUAGUCCGAAUUUAGGCCCAAACACUCAUAUUUAAGGAGUUUCAUCCUGUGCUCAGAGAGGAGGUGCUGAACAAUACGUUAAACCAAUUUAUUUGUACUGCAUAUCAUAUGAUGUUUGUCCAAUUGAUGAAUUUUUACUUCUGAUGUUGGUUAACGGUGGUAUAGCAUGGAUUUCACAGAGGGUACCUUCUACUGAUAUUCAUUUCUGACAAGCAUUGUAUUAUUUUCUAUAAUCCUCUUAUAAUAUUAAUAAAGGAGUGUUGAGAUUGCCCACUCAGUCAUUGGCUUAUAUACUGGUUACUGGGUUUAGGUUCUUGGGUGGGGCGGUCAGCGGUCUUCUCAUUUUCCUCUGCCUCUUGUGUUUUAAUUUCUGUUCACCCCAGUGAUUGGUGCUCUCUGCUUUGGGUGAGAAAGAUGAGGUGACAUUUCAGCACUGUUUGAAAUUAUCCAUUCCUGUUUGAAAUCUUAUGCUCAUGUGGUUAUUUGAGAUCACACCUUACCUCUCUUGAAAAUGCCUUUUUUUCUAGUGUGUAAAUAAAAAUAAUGAAUACAUUGUU